UUGGAGGGCAAGUCUGGUGCCAGCAGCCGCGGUAAUUCCAGCUCCAAUAGCGUAUAUUAAAGUUGUUGCAGUUAAAAAGCUCGUAGUUGAAUUUCGGGAUUUAUACGUUGGUCGGGCUUUUGGGUCUGUACUGGCGUAAUGAAUUCCUACCUUCUGAAUAACCAGCAUGUCAUUAAUUUGAUGCGCCGGGGAAGCAGGACUGUUACCUUGAAAAAAUUAGAGUGCUUAAAGCAGGCUAUUGCCUGAAUACAUUAGCAUGGAAUAAUGAAAUAGGACGGCAUGGUUCUAUUUUGUUGGUUUCUAGGAUCACCGUAAUGAUUAAUAGGGAUAGUUGGGGGCAUUAGUAUUCAAUUGUCAGAGGUGAAAUUCUUGGAUUUAUUGAAGACUAACUUCUGCGAAAGCAUUUGCCAAGGAUGUUUUCAUUAAUCAAGAACGAAAGUUAGGGGAUCGAAGACGAUCAGAUACCGUCGUAGUCUUAACCAUAAACUAUGCCGACUAGGGAUCGGACGAUGUUAAUUUUUUAAUGACUCGUUCGGCGCCUUACGGGAAAC
This 551-nucleotide ribosomal RNA is filed under the name uncultured Acaulospora. Its description in RNAcentral is "SSU rRNA". It matches the Rfam family "Eukaryotic small subunit ribosomal RNA", at positions 548 to 1098 of the family's 1831-position model. The record is from RNAcentral. Lineage: Eukaryota; Fungi; Glomeromycota; Glomeromycetes; Diversisporales; Acaulosporaceae.